UAGAGUUUGAUCCUGGCUCAGGACGAACGCUGGCGGCGUGCCUAAUACAUGCAAGUCGAACGAAACUUUCUUACACCGAAUGCUUGCAUUCACCGUAAGAAGUUGAGUGGCGGACGGGUGAGUAACACGUGGGUAACCUGCCUAAAAGAAGGGGAUAACACUUGGAAACAGGUGCUAAUACCGUAUAUCUCUAAGGAUCGCAUGAUCCUUAGAUGAAAGAUGGUUCUGCUAUCGCUUUUAGAUGGACCCGCGGCGUAUUAACUAGUUGGUGGGGUAACGGCCUACCAAGGUGAUGAUACGUAGCCGAACUGAGAGGUUGAUCGGCCACAUUGGGACUGAGACACGGCCCAAACUCCUACGGGAGGCAGCAGUAGGGAAUCUUCCACAAUGGACGCAAGUCUGAUGGAGCAACGCCGCGUGAGUGAAGAAGGUCUUCGGAUCGUAAAACUCUGUUGUUAGAGAAGAACACGAGUGAGAGUAACUGUUCAUUCGAUGACGGUAUCUACCAGCAGCCG
This 515-nucleotide ribosomal RNA is filed under the name Ligilactobacillus salivarius. Its description in RNAcentral is "bacterial SSU rRNA". It matches the Rfam family "Bacterial small subunit ribosomal RNA", at positions 1 to 493 of the family's 1533-position model. The record is from RNAcentral. Lineage: Bacteria; Bacillati; Bacillota; Bacilli; Lactobacillales; Lactobacillaceae.